This 797-nucleotide long non-coding RNA is filed under the name Homo sapiens (human). RNAcentral's name for it is "HSALNT0299247". Lineage: Eukaryota; Metazoa; Chordata; Mammalia; Primates; Hominidae. The record is from RNAcentral.
AUGCUCUUGCAAUCAGACGGAUGCAGGCAGCACCCUUCUGCAGAAGUAAAUGUGCCUUGCUGAGAAAUGUUCUGUCUAAGUGCUGGCUUUUCUUUGAGGCACUGAGCACUUGUUUCUAACAAAAUGGGGGCACAUCUGGGAUCCCAUUCUCCUCCGGAGAAGGGUCUCCAAUCAUCUCUUGUGAGGAGACGUGUCUCACUGCAGCAGCCUCAAGAAUGAGGGAUUGAGACCCACCAGCAUGAUGAAUAUACCGAGACUCUCAGCAACAUGGAAGGAAAAGGCCUACAGAUGCCAUGGUGACCAAGUAAUUCUGUGCACAGACCAAGAAUCUUGCUACUCUCCAUCACAAGGCAAAGUCUAUCUUCCUUUCUUUUGAAUCUGGGAAGACACUUGUGACUGCCUCAAUGAAUAGGAAGAAUACAGUGGAAGUGAUGCUGCGUGGCUGCUAAGAACAGGCUGGAAAAGGCCAUGCAGCCUCUGUUCGUCUCCCUCUUGGAACACUUGUCUUUGGAACCCUGAGUUGCCAAGUAGGACAUCCAGGGCUGCCGUGCUGUGGGGAAGCCCAAAACUAGCCCACACAGAGAGACCACAUGAAAAAACACUGACAUUGCAUGAAGAGAGGGUGAUGUGCUCCAGCUGCCUAAGGCUUCAUCUCCUGCCUGUUCCAGCUCCAGAAAACCUGAAGGCAACAGCAUGAGACACCCUGAGCUAAAACCAUCUAGCUGAGCUGUUUCUGAACUUCUGACCAAUUUCUUAUUUCUGACCAAUAAAAAAUAAUUUUAUUAUCUGUGAUUGAU